AAAUGAAAUAAGCAAAGUACAUUGACCAAAGAUGAAUGGAAUCAAAGUCAAUCAAUGGUAAACAGAAGCAAGAUGAAGCUUAGAAGUCAAGAAACAAAUAAAAUAUUUUUGGUAUUUUUGAGAAUUAAAAUAAUACUUGAAUUAAAAUAAACAAAUAAAUGAAGCUUAGAAGUCAAGAAACAAAUAAAAUAUUUUUGGUAUUUUUGAGAAUUAAAAUAAUACUUGAAUUAAAAUAAACAAAUAAAGGUCAAACUUCA
This 257-nucleotide long non-coding RNA is filed under the name Lathyrus oleraceus (garden pea). RNAcentral describes it as "Pisum sativum (pea) long non-coding RNA (PSAT_LNC019331)". Lineage: Eukaryota; Viridiplantae; Streptophyta; Magnoliopsida; Fabales; Fabaceae. The record is from RNAcentral.